Molecule: unclassified non-coding RNA, 9412 nt
Filed under: Rhagoletis pomonella (apple maggot)
Lineage: Eukaryota; Metazoa; Arthropoda; Insecta; Diptera; Tephritidae
Description: uncharacterized LOC118735860, transcript variant X1
Source: RNAcentral
GACUCAUUCGUUAGUUGAACGUGAACGUGUGAGGUGGUGCGCCAUUCGGUUCGGUCGCUUAACAGACGCCAGAAAUGUUUGUUUGUUUGCUUGAUUUUUUGUUUGUUUAGAUAUCGUGCGGUGAGCGUGAGAGUUUGGACUCUCCAAAUGGUGUGGUGUUGAUGCUUUGUGUUUAUGUGCGAGAGAGCGCCAAGAAAUCGGUGUACGCAGAGUGGGAGCAAACAGUCAUUUUGAUGGGGCAAAAGCGUUGGAGCUAUUAAACUGAAGGGUGGAAGGGCAGCAAAAGCGUUGGUGCAAACAUUUCUGAUCGGUUUUUGCAGCUAAGCAAGCGCACACUCAUAUGCACAUGCAUACAUACAUAGUUGGAAGGGAAAGAAAUACAUUUCUACCUACUCAACAGUGCAAAAUUCGACGCAUUCGCAAAUUUACUCCCGGCGCAGCGGUCAGUGCGUUAUUUCGUUUGUGUGUUGUUGCUAUGCAUUGCCUGCGUCAUAUAUGAACUUUCCGGUGACGCGAGUUCCCCUUUGCGAUUGCAUACACCAUCGUCGUCGUCGUCGUCGUCAUCGUGGUUGUGUUGGGUCGUUGGGUCGAUAUGUCGAUCGGUCUGCAAGUGGAACUACAACAUCUGCUCAAUUAAAUAAUUUAUAAAAGCAUAGCAAAAAAAAAGUGAAGCCGGCAAAGGCAACAACUACAACAAUCGCGAACAAUAGCAUUUGCGAAAAUUUAUCAACCACCAAGCAAGAAGAGGAGCAAAGCACAAAAAAAAAAAACAAUGUUGAGCAGCGAUUAUGCCCGAAAAAAAGCACAAAAAAGUCUCUAAGCAGCUGCAACAGCGGCAGUUUGAAAAUUUGUGAAUUGUAGCAGCAAUCGAUGCAGUAAUCGCAAAUAGUGGUGCUGCAAAAACAACAAUUACAACAAAAUCGCCUCCUAAGCGCAUCAUCAACGCUGAUUUCAGCACACCGCACAGCGUCGUUGUAAUCGCCGCUGGAAGCUGUGACGCUGACGUAAAUGCUGCUGCUGCUGCUGCCGCUCUAUGUGUGUUGCCUAGGCAGUCAGUGGGACAGUAAGCCCACUGUGUUCAGUGUAGUCUGGCGUUGUGCGCGAAAUUGUGAGGUCGUCUUUAGUGGGCGUGCGUGUGAAAUUGUUUUCUAAAUAAAAAAAUCUAAAAAAGGGAUUGCAGUAAUUGGUGUGAUUUUGGCAAAAUAAAAAAAAAUUAAUAAAACCGAAAAUACAGUGCCACGGAAAAAAUAUGAUUCCAAAAUUACUAAAAACACAUGAUGCAAACUAGUUUCCGCGAAAUUAAAAUCGUUCGAAAUUCGAAAUAUGUUAUACGAAAUAUAAAAUUACGAAAAAUAUCAAAAGUCAAAUAAAUUCUAUAGUGCGCUACUUGCAAGUUACACAUUAGCAAACGCAAUUUUUAAUAAACAUUCAUUGAAAAGUUGUGUAAACAGUGAUAUUACAUUUGGAGUUCUGCUAUGAAUUUCCUUCACAUUAUUUCUUUGUGUGUUACAUGGUGUCGCCAUUUUUUAAACAUUGAACUGCAUCCACAAUUGGUUCAAGGAGUCUUCAACAGAUUCGUGGAAACCGGUUGAAUAACUUCCAUACAACCUGCAACAGAUUUGGAAGUCUACAGAUGUUUGACUAUAAAAUCGAAAACGUCAUUAAGUGUGAUCCAAGUCUGCUGUAAAAUUUUCUCUCCUCUCUACUAACGCUUUUUGGGUGUGUACUUAGUAUGUAUGUAUGUACGGCAAUUUUCUAUGUAAAAAACAAAACACUAUUACAAAAUAAACAUAAAAACGAAUUCAAUUAGAAGAAAGAGAUUGAAAGCAAUAUUUAAACGCAAAACUACAUAGACAAUAUUAAUCUGAAGCAAGUGUGUCUGGUGUUAGAAAAGUGUAGCAUAAAAAUACUAAAAAUUGUUGGUUCAAGCAAAUAUUUGAACAAAUUUUAAUACAACUAAAAUACGGGGAAAAAAUUGUAUUUCGUGUAAAAUGGCAUUUGAAACAAAUAAUUCGUGCAAAACAAUGUAGUUCGCUCUAACAAAUUGUAAAGUGUCACCGAAAUUUUAGGAAAGAAAGUAAGCAGUUCCUUGCUGUAGCAACUUGAACAUCUAUGACAGCCCGCAAUGCAUUUUGACUGCUGAAAAUUUUUAAGAAAACACCAUCAUUAAACACCCUCUGUCACGUGCGUACAAUUUUGUAAUGUUCUAAACAAUUCUAAAACAAAAUACAUACAUAAAACAAAGUCAACAGCAAUUGUAACGACCUCAACAACAGGGGGAACCCAAGAACACAUUACAGUAAACGAAAAAUGCAAUAAUUCAAACAAUUCGAGGCAAACUUGUGGCCAUAGCGCCCUAGAAAACAAAGCAUCGGGCAACUACCAUCUUAAAAGCAUAGGCGUCAUUUGGUAACCCAGCCAACAAACAAUACACUCUGCUACAUAUAGCUGGCCUCUGCCUUUACAUUGUGGUUCAUUGUUUCGGCGCUGCUGCUGCUCAACCGAAUUUACUCCUCGCUAGCGCUCACCAAUCAAGCAACAAUCAAACAACUAAAACCAUACGACUGUCUGUCUCAGCGAUUGUUUGACUGACUAACUGACUGGCUGACUGGCCGGUGAGCCGGUUGUGUUGGUGGUUUUAUAGAAUAGUACAAUGUGUCGAUGAUGACGAUGACGAGCAGCAAGCGUGCUUGGAUUGACUGAGUCACUGUGGCCACGGCGGUGGGCAGGCAGGCAGGUAUUGGUUGGUUCAUUUCAUUGUGGUGCUCAGCUGACGCAGUCAUUCGACGACGACGUGGAGCUGUGUGGUUGUUGGUGUUUUUGGAGCACGAACACAGCACAGAGUGGAGCUUCGUACGUCGCUGGCGUUGACGUUGGCCGGCAGUUGCAUUCGACGCGCCAUUCGGAACGGGUUGUUAGACGGGCGGUAGUACCUACAUAAGCACCUAAAUAAGUACACCGUACGACGAGUGGAUAUGUACGUGAUUGGUGCGACGUAGAGAGUUGGGUUGCGCGCGUCGUUAAGGUCGUCAUCGAAUUGUAGUGCUUCUGGGCUGUAUAGAUCAUGCCAAAUACGGGCCGGCAGUUGACAGGCUAGCACAGUGCGCGAAUUAGAAUAGAACUGAGCGAGAACGUGUUGGCAAGUGUAAUGAAGCUGUAAAAAUUGAGUGCCAGCAAAAGAGUGAAUAAAAAUUUAUAUAAAAUAAUUCUGUAAAAAAAAUGUGAUUUUCAAGCAGCAAUUAAAAUAAUAAGAGUUUAAUAAUUUUUGCGAUUCUAACAAAAAAUCUCCAAGUGCGGACAGUAUACGAACUACAUACAUACAUAUAACAACCGUCAAAAAGUCUCGUGCGUGUACAACAUUCCGGUAGCAGCUCUGCACCAAACAAAAAAAAAAAAACAAAACAAAAAAAAAACAAGCAAAAAAAAGUGUGUCAGUGAGUGUACCCGUGUAUUUUGCGAUUUUCGCUCAUUUUGUGUAGCGCAGGCGUGCGCGCCCUUCCCCUUCGACGGCAGCUGUUUAAACAAAAAAGAACAAAAAAAACCCCUUUGUGUCUGUUUUUCGCAUUGUAUCGCUUUAAUUGUUGCCUAGCGAAAUGACUGAUUCCAUAAAAUUAUCCGAAAUGCAACGCAGUAGUAUCGAAUUCGAACGUCAACGACAUUUGGCCAACUGGUUUAUCAAGAGUAGCCCGCACAUGGCAACACCGCAAACAGCGUCCGCGACGACGACAACAACGACGGCAACGGCGACGGGCGCCAGCGUUGCACUAACAACAAGAACAACAACAACAGCAACAACAGCUGCAGCUAUUGGUGCAACAACAGAUAACACAACAGCUAGUAAUGCAACAAAAAAUACAACAACAUCGACAACAAAUCUUGGAGGGGGCCACCACACAAAUGGCAUGUCGUCUUCGGCAGCCAACUCGCACCACCAGCAACAGCAGCACUCGAGCGCCAAGCAUCACAACAGCUGUGGUGGCGGCGGUAGCGGCAAUCCACCGCCCGUCUUCUUCUUAGUCGCCAGCAAUGGCAAUUCAAAUGGCAAUAUUGUGAAUGGCAGCAAACACAGCAGCAAUGCGUCACCGGCUCCUACAGGUGUUGGUACGCCUCCCAAUGCGAUAAGCGCUGUCUCCGGCGGUCCCCUAGGCCAUUUCGCAGCCGUCGAGGGACGCAAACCCAAGCUGCGACGCUUCAAUUCGCACGACACCAGCGCAAAUAUGUUCUCAGUGGCGGACUUCGAGAAUGCACGGUUGGCGCGACGCAAUGAAAUCGAAAUGAAACAGCGUCUGGCACGGCGCAUGCGCAUGAGUGCCACUGGCGGAUACGGCUGUGCGGCUGGCGGUAUGGGCGCGAGCUUGAUUGGUGGCAGUGGCUGUGGGCUGGGUGCCAGUGGUAAUGGCAUGGGUGUGGGUACGGGGGGCGGUAACAGCAUGUGUGGCGGUGGUGACUACUCCACCGGCGAUAGCAAGGCGUCCAAAUAUAGCAAUGAGUCUCAACACGAGCCAUUGCCAGCGGAUAUUUUCCUCGAUCGCUACUCGUUGCCACGCGUUGUACGAAUUUCGUAUAAAACGAAAUUCUCCGACGAAACAUUGCAAUCGUCCUCCUCGAAUGGCUCAUCCACAGCCACGACGAAUACCACAGGCACCAGCGCCAGCGUUUCGAAUUCGUCGGUGAGCGCUUGUGGUCUAACGGUGGCUAUUAACACCGGCACGUCCUCAUCGACGGCCUCCUCAAGCGGUAAUGUGAAUGCGCACAGCUCGGGUGCUACGAACACGAGCAGCAGCGGUGGUGGCGGUGGCGGUGGCGGUGGUGGUGGCAGUGGCGGUAGUGCGGAUAGAGUAGGCUCCAAACAGCACUCAACGCCACACAAUACAACACCUCCAGCCACAACAACUCAGUCAAACACAACAAUUAAUGGUAAUAGCAAUACGGAUGUGGAGAAUCGCGAAGAUCAUGGUGAAUUAUUUCUACUCUAUCGGCUAAUACGACAACGCCAUAUAUUUCAUGGGCAUAAUGCCAAGACUGCUGCAGCAAGUCGCAAGAAAGGUGUGCUUAUACCGCAAGAGUUUCCAGGCUACUUUUCUCUGCUCAAUGACAAGGGCACAGCAACGGCGACCCUCUACACUUCCUUAAUACAGCUCGUACGCGAACGUGUAUACAAAUUCGUUUCAGUCGACAAUAUGCCCGCCUUUACCGAGUCCCAGCCCAACGUCAAUAACCCACCCGCUGAAAGUUGUCUACCCAUGUACACCCAACCACCGCCACCACCGACCAACAAUCGACCACAAUAUGUGAAGACUACGGCACGGGGUGGUCAAGUAUUCCGACUGCUAGCCGUUUUCGAGGAUGGCAAGCAAGACCACUCCAAUACGAUCGGUUGUACCGGUAGUGUGACCGCAAAAUCGAAUAACAAUCAUGGCCGUGAAAAGGAAAAGGGCCGCUAUGCACAGCUGUUGAACGAGAACCGGCAGGUGUUGUACGUUUCGCUCUCCACAAAGGGCAAAUUCUAUGAAAUCGAGCCAGGCAUACCACAAAUAUUACAAAAGCUUGGCGGCAUCGGAAACGAGGCGAAUAAAAAGGCCAAUCCGGAUUGCGUACAUCGCAUAACGGCGUUGAUAACGCCACAGCGCGAAUUGCCGCUGACACUGCGCUACAUUUCCGGUCCACAUGGCUGCAAUAGCGCGAUACCCGAAAAUGUGUGCAUCACACACAUAACCACCGAAAAUGUGGUGAUCGCCUGUCCCAUUGAGGAUGUGGAGGUGCAGAGUCCACUGCACUUACGCAAGCUGCAUCUGUCCAAAGAGAUGAAUUUGUUGAAGAGCUCACUUGGUUUCGAAAGCGAACAACGCAUGCUCGCCAAUCCCAAUGUGCAAAAUAUACUCAAAUUUUGUCAAUUCAAUUGUGAUCAGUUCUUAAAGAUGGUUGAAGUGGAAAUAUUGCACCGUCCGGAGCGCUCGGGUUCCAAGAGCCGUGGCGAAGGUUUGAAAAUCCUCAAGCCACUGCAUUUGCCUAAGCUGUUGCGACGAGAGAAGACCACAAUUCCGGCGCAUGAGAAGGAAGACUCAAUUAUAUUUCUUAGCAAAUCCGACCUCGCCAAUCUGGAGGCGAAGGAAGCUGCAGCGCAGGCAGCUUUCGAAAGCGCGGCGAGCAGUGCAAACCGCAUUACCGAGAAAAUGAAAGUUUUCCAGUCGACAAAGAAAAAGUGGUUCCGCAAGCAAGACAAGCACGCUGCGCACACGUUGACCUCCUACGAAUUGGACGUGCAAGCGAAGCGCAUGAGCAUGGAGCGCUAUUCGGAUAUGUCAAAGCUGUUGCAGGAACGUUUCGGUGACAAGCCAAAUGCGCAAACUCAUGAUGCGCAUGAAUCUGUUUCCGAACCAAGUGGUGGCGCUUCGGAUAUCGGCUGCUCAGAUACGGAGACCACCACAUUGGCAACCAUUGAUGAGAAACUGAGAAAGGUAGAGACGAGUGGCAAUAAAAUGAUAACAAAGUCAAUGUCGCUGCAGGAUAUCGAGCUCAUUAGCGGCGGCGCUGCGGCACGCAAGCCCGACUUGCUGCCAAACGAUACCAUCUCCGAAGCGGGCACCGACCUGGAGGACCUUGAUAACCAGGACCUGAUACCACAGUCAUUUAUAACUGAGAAGCUAUAUAAUGAGUUCCACGUCAAAACGCGCCAGUACAGCAAAUCCUCCUCGAGCCUGCAUCAACUGCUGAACUUUUCGUUGCCACAAAAGAUGCAGCUACAUGACAACAAACGCUCGAUGGCGCAGCUAAAGCACAAUGGCAGUAGUAGCGUAGCUGGAAAGCCAGCAGCCGUCGCUGACAGGCGUCUGGACUUCAACAUUGGCGAGCCGGUGACAGGCAGACGCGCUGCCGGUGGACUUUCACUACUCGCUGGUAACGCUGGCGUUGCCAACAGUCUUGGCAUUUUGGGCCACCAUUCGGCGCUCGCCUCACCGCUCACACCCACCAGCCUGAUCGAUGAUCUGCCCUAUUCAAGCGUGCGCGAUUCGCUGGUGCUCUCGAGCGACGAAUCAGCAUCGGACAAUCCAACAGGCAACAUCUGUCAGGCGCUCAAUAUGAUCGACUACAACAAAGAGAAUAUCUAUGCGGAAAUUUGUCACGACAAUAUUAGUCAUCACGCGGCGGGCAUAACAUCAGUCUCAGCAGCAGCGACCGCUGGCACCACCGUCUCGGCCAUGGGUGGCAUUUGCAGUUCAACUACACGUGACACCUUCUCCGGCGAUACACAUUCCACGCAGAUUUCCGACGACUACGGCGACUAUGCCUCGCUCACAUACACAGCGAUUGAGCGUACUGCUCAACCGAAUAGUAUCCAAACCAGCGGCAGCGCUCUGAGUAAGUCAACAAGUGGACAAACUGUUGUCAACGCUUCGGCACCCACCGCCUUGGCGAUUAGUCGGGUACAAGUCAAUUGCAACUCUGUCAGUCCAGUGAGCUAUCACACCGUUUAUUUGGGCGACGAGCCGCUUGGCAACGAAAAACAACGUGAACGUGGCAAGCGUCACAGCAAGGCGGGCAGUAGCAAGAGUCGCGAGCAUGUCACUACAGUGGCGCUGGAGGGUAACACACCGACAGCCUAUGAACCGCACAAUGCCAGCGGCAAUAUUGGGGCUACAGCUGCUAGCAUCGCCAACGAACUGGAGGAGGUGGCCGAUAACAUUUACAAUACAUUGAAAUGAUGACUAAUGUGAUUUAGUUGGAAAUUGGGUGCAACGGUGUUGAGUAUGGUGAGCAGCGGCAAGGGGUUCUACUGAAUCAAUGCGGCCGCUGACGAGCAUUGCUCAGCAAGUGUGCUCAGCUAGGGGUGCACCAAAAGGAGUGAUUGAAUUUAAUUUACUAUUACAUAAGUAAGAUUCGAACUGCUCGAAAGAGGAAACAGCAUUGUGAUGUUUAGGGCUUUCUAAAUGACAUGAAAGGUGCGUUUGAAAGGCUCAUUGGUACAGAUAUUAGAAAAACAAAAGCACAGCAAUCAACUUCACCUGCAAAAAAAAAAACAAAUAUUUGUAAAUAAAUACAUACAAAAAUAAUUCACUAAUUUGUAGCAGCACAAAAAAUGUAUCAAGAACAAAAACCAUUAAUCACAAUUCACUUCAUCCACUAAAUAAUACGAGCAUCAACCAGACAAUUUAUGAAUACUUUGCACAAAACUAUAAUUUUUCGAAAUUCAAAAAUCUGCAAUCAACACAAUUUUCGCUGACCUGUAAUGAAAAAUUAACAGUUUGCUUAAGUUAGUCAAGAAAGUAUAAAAGCCUGAUUUAACCAGAAAGGUAAGUGAGCUUUUUUAUUUUCUGUAGUAAUAGCCAGGGGGAGUAGUUUUUGAGAGUAUAAUUUUGGAACUUUAGUAUUUGAUUGAAAGCUUGGUUUCUUGUGAAAUCUUUCAAAAAGAGCUUGGGCAAGGCUUUAAGAAGCUGUACGUAAUCACUAUCUUAUAUUUAAAAACUAUGGAUUUGGGUGAAAGCUUGUUUUCUGGUGAAAGCUGUAAAUAAAUGUGUUUAGCGAUGAAAGCAUUCGGAAAUCGCGUAAAGCUUUCCGCAGCUUUUAAACACGUUUUGACAAUUUUAAUGAACUUUCAUUCAUUUCGAUAAAUUUUCUGCUACCUUGAACUUAAAAAAUUCGUAAGCUUGAAUUCUUUGGAGUGUGUCAAUGCGCUUCCAAUGCCUAAUUCUAGUUUUCAUGCAUUUUUAGACUCUUUUCGAAUUUAAGCACUCACUUGAUUUCAUAUUUUUGUAAGCCCUGGGCUUUAGUAAAAUCUGCUCAUAUACCAAUCACGACGAAAAGCUCUCUCUGGUCGUUGCUUACUUUCAGAAACUGAAUAUCAUUUGAAAUGACAGAUUUUUUGUGAAAGCUUUUAAUUUUGUGAAAGCUGCAUAUCAUACGAGCGUAUGUUUACGCCAAGGCUUCCAGUAAUAGUUGAAAAAGUCAUUCACCCCUAUUGCGAGUGUUGACUAGUAGUAGAUAAACGACUGUUAGUCGAUUAUCGAUUAUGUAUGGUAUUUUUAAACUCGUUUUCUCGUUCAAUAAGUGCGUGUGAAUAGUUUAUAGUCGCUUAUAUAUAUUAAGCUUUCUAUACAUUUUGUAUAGUCACGUGCAGAGUAAAAGCUCUCUGCCCAUCGCUGAUUUUAAGGUUUUGUGUUUAGGUUAGAGCUUUCCAAAGGCUUUCUACUUUUCAAGUGCUUUUAGGCUCAGUACAACCGAAAUUUCUGAUUUGUCUUUUUGUGUGGUGAAAUAAUGUUUUCAUUGAGUGAAUUUUAUUUCAGAAAUUCUAAUACUAAAUAUUCAAAAAAUAAAAUAUAAAAAAAUACGUAUUUUCAACUGUAGAACCAUUACAGGGCAGCGAACAACAGAUAAUCUUUGGAAUUUUAAAAAUCGUCUAAGAUCGAGUACUAUA